Molecule: ribosomal RNA, 484 nt
Filed under: uncultured bacterium
Lineage: Bacteria
Description: partial 16S ribosomal RNA
Rfam family: Bacterial small subunit ribosomal RNA
Source: RNAcentral
AUUGAACGCUGGCGGCAUGCUUUACACAUGCAAGUCGAACGGCAGCGCGGGCUUCGGCCUGGCGGCGAGUGGCGAACGGGUGAGUAAUGCAUCGGAACUUGCCCAGUAGUGGGGGAUAGCCCGGCGAAAGCCGGAUUAAUACCGCAUACGACCUGAGGGUGAAAGCGGGGGACCGAAAGGCCUCGCGCUAUUGGAGCGUCCGAUGUCGGAUUAGCUAGUUGGUGGGGUAAAGGCUUACCAAGGCGACGAUCCGUAGCUGGUCUGAGAGGACGACCAGCCACACUGGGACUGAGACACGGCCCAGACUCCUACGGGAGGCAGCAGUGGGGAAUUUUGGACGAUGGGGGCAACCCUGAUCCAGCCAUGCCGCGUGAGGGAAGAAGGCCUGCGGAUUGUAAACCGCUUUUGUUCGGGAAGAAAUCCUCUGGGAUAAUACCGCGGGGGGAUGACGGUACCGGAAGAAUAAGCACCGGCUAACUACGUG